RNAcentral lists this ribosomal RNA (450 nucleotides) under uncultured bacterium. Its description in RNAcentral is "partial 16S ribosomal RNA". It matches the Rfam family "Bacterial small subunit ribosomal RNA", at positions 354 to 796 of the family's 1533-position model. The record is from RNAcentral.
GUGGGGAAUUUUGGACAAUGGGCGCAAGCCUGAUCCAGCAAUGCCGCGUGCAGGAAGAAGGCCUUCGGGUUGUAAACUGCUUUUGUACGGAACGAAAAGGCUCUGGUUAAUACCUGGGGCUCAUGACGGUACCGUAAGAAUAAGCACCGGCUAACUACGUGCCAGCAGCCGCGGUAAUACGUAGGGUGCAAGCGUUAAUCGGAAUUACUGGGCGUAAAGCGUGCGCAGGCGGUUUUGUAAGACAGACGUGAAAUCCCCGGGCUCAACCUGGGAAUGGCGUUUGUGACUGCAAAGCUGGAGUGCGGCAGAGGGGGAUGGAAUUCCGCGUGUAGCAGUGAAAUGCGUAGAUAUGCGGAGGAACACCGAUGGCGAAGGCAAUCCCCUGGGCCUGCACUGACGCUCAUGCACGAAAGCGUGGGGAGCAAACAGGAUUAGAAACCCCAGUAGUCC